UUUGUGUUUGUUUUGGUUUUUAGCAAUAUUUGUAAACAAAUGUGUAAAUAUUUGAGUGCUAUAACGAGCAUGGAGGAAUUGUUCUUUGAAAAAAAUGGCCUCUAUAAAAGUUCAGUUAUCGAAUAAUUGUGUUUAACCGAAUCUGGAGCAAUUUGGACGUACAUACCUUGCAUUUUCAUUUGUUGAGCGAUUUGCUGCCUAAGUCCUAAAACUCUAGAGUCCUAAAACUCUACGAUCCGAUAAGGACGCAUUAUUUUUGUAAAGCAAAGGACACUGACGCACAGCCUCACAGCCACAGACAAAGUUGCUACGAGAGUAUUAUAUGGUUGCAAGUCCAAAACUGAACGAGUUAGAUAUAGGGUUAUAUAUAUCAAAAUGAUCAGUGUGACGAAAAAAGUUCAAAUCCGGGACGUCUGUCCGUCCGUCCGUGCAAGCUGUAACUUGAGUAAAAAUUGAGAUAUCUUAAUGAAAAUGAAAUUGGAAGACGUAUUUCUUGGCACCAUAAGAAGGUUAAGUUCGAAAAUGUGAGUAAUCGGGCCAUUGCCACUUCCACAAAAUGGCAAUAACCGAAAAUUUGGUACAAAAGCUUGUUCUAGGAAGGGGCAUAUUUGGAUGUAAUUUUUUUGGGGAAGUGGGCGUGGCUCCGCCCACUACUAAGUUUUUUGUACAUAUCUCGCAAACUAAUUAAGCUAUAUCAAGGAAACUUUCUAGAGUCGUUUCUUUUAGGUACUACCUUAUACCGUACAAAAAUGAAGGAAAUCGGGUCAUACGGCCCACCUCCCAUACAAAGGUUGUAUUGAAAAUUACUAAAAAUUCAGUAAGUUCAGUAAGGAAAACAACCAGAAACCUUAGAUUUCAUUGAAAAGAUGGUACAGAAGAGCUGCUCUCAAAAUGGUAUACAAAAUUUUAAAUGGGCGUGGUUCCGCCAACUUAUGGGUCAAAAACCAUAUCUUCCUUACUUGUUUUAUAAUUCUUUUGUUUUUUAACUUUCGACUGUAAAUACGCAAUUUCAUUUGUUUCAUUUGUUUACAAAUUUUACAUCAAUUUGUAUUUAUUUUGGAUUUAUUUCUUUUGAAACAACUGUUUGACAGCAAAAUGCUUUUCACCUCAAUUGGUGACUUUUUUAAGCUUUUUUCUUAUGAGGUUCGAGCCAGAAUAGACUCACAAAAUAUACGUCACAAGAAACCUCACAAAUUUUUCCUCACAACUCAGUUAUGAGGUUUUUUCAGAAUAGGGCUGUAAAUUUUCUCAAUGAUUUAAUUAUAGUAAACCUCUGGGGAGAAAAACAUCUUGAGACACCUACCAAAGAUAAUACUGGCAAAAUUAUCGAAAAAAAUUUAUAAUGCCAAAAUGAAAUAAGAAAUGAUACUACGAAUAAACAAAUAAUAAAUGAAGCAAAUGCUCAUAAUAUUUUAAAAACAAAUAAUUUUGAAAUGUCUAAUGAAUUAUCAUAUAACGAUAAUGAAACAAAACAUUUCUGCAUACCACUGUUAAGAAAGGAUGUUAUUGUAACGGAUUUCCAAAUCUGUUGUUAACGCUGAAACUUUACCCUGAGUUCGACCACUGGAUUGUCAAAUAAAAGACACACUUUAAUGGCUAUACACUAAUCUUUAUUUCCAAUUCCUUAAAACUUAACACUUUAUUACUCAAUACUCUAAUUUACAACUCUAACUUAUAACUUGUUUACACUUUACUCGACAACUCUCUCCUUAGAAUUAUCCUCACUCGACAACUCUCUUAUUAGAACUGUGUCUUGGUGCCAGCCCGGCAGCCCUUAUAUAGUCGAUUGCUAACAUGUUAUCGUCACUCAAACAUUCUGGCAACUACGAAUAUCGAUGUCUAGAUAGAUCUGGCAAGUUAUCGAUUUCGAUUGUCAAUUCUAGUUGGUUCUGGUGCCAUUUUCGUAACAUUAUUAAAAUAAUUAAUCAUCAUCAUCAAAACGUGAACAUGGAUUUACCUUUUAGAACAGAUAUUAAAGCAGAAAUUAGGACUGAGGAUGAUAAACCUAUAUGGUCAAAACAAUAUCCUUAUUCAAUAUUUGCGAAUAAUUUUGUUAAUAAGGAAAUCGAAAAUUUGCUAGAAAAAGGAUUUAUACGUCGUAAAAGUCCAUAUAAUUCUCCCGUUUGGGUCGUUCCUAAAAAAGGAAUAAAUGAAGACGGAAGUCCGAAAUUAAGAAUGAUCAUUGACUUUAAAAAAAUAAAUGAAAAAACCAUAACCGACAGAUAUCCAAUGCAUAAUCCCUAGGUGAUUCUCUUUAAUCUGGGAGAAUCGAAAUACUUUUCCACAAUAGAUUUACAGCCCUAUUCUGUGCACUUGGCAAAGUAACAAAAAAAUUUAAAUUUUUUUCAUAUUUUUAUCAAGAAAGAAAUUUUUUGGUAUUCUGUGACAAUUUUGAUAAAAUAAAAAGCUUCAGUAUGCAUAGCUUUUCCCCACACUUGUGGGAAACAAAAUAAUGUAAACAGAAACAGCUGAUUUCUGUCCAAUUAUAUUGAAUUGAAUUGAAAAAAAUAUUUGAAUUAUUCUAUAACGUACUUUUUCACAUGCAUUUCAAUAUUUGUUGCAAAUUAGUUAAUAAUUUAACUUCAAUUUCAGAGUAAAUCCGUUGCUCUUGGUUUAGACGUGAAGUUUCUGAGAGUGCACAAAUAUUCCAUGCUUCGAAUCUGGCCCUAUUAUUUUCACGUAGAAGGUCGUUAUUUGGAUAUUUGGAUUUGUUUUAACCGAGCCUUCUUCAUUGUGGCUUCGUUGAUAAGUUUGGUUUACGAUUGACCGGUUAUCAGCAUAUAUAUCCGAUUCUGAUGUCGAGAUAUCGACUGAAGCCUCCCAGACCUGAUGCAAAGUAUUUGGUUUGGUUUUACAACAGCAACUAUAUAGAUGAUAAUAUUUGGAUUUGCCCCUAGUCUUUUGCUCCCCCGUAAAGCCAUAGAAUACUACAUAACAUAUACAUAUAUACAUAUGUCCUUUAUAAUAUUUUUAAAAAUUUUUCAUUAAUAACAAUUUUGAUUUAGUUGGAUGUUAUGUUUAGCUUCAGAAAAGUUCCUUGGGGACUACGAAAUCUAAAUUUUGUUCAUUGUUGGCAAAAAUUUGCUAAUAUAUAUAUAGAAAACAAUUUCCUCAAAUUACCCUCAUUAUCUCCACAUUUUUAUACAAAAAAAGGGAAAAAUAAACUUCUUAAUAUAAAAACGGCUCAUUCACGGUUCAUAUAUUUCCUCUUUGUGUAAAAAUAACGACAAAAGUAAAAUAUCUCCAUUACAAGAAAUUCACUUUCACAACCAUUGUAUAAACCUACAAGUAGAUAAUCUAAAAUACAUAUAAAGAAUUUGCGAUACGAAUGCAAUAGAAUGAAGGAAAACGCAAGACAUUUCGCGAGGACUUACGUCGAUAAAUACUACUAAAUCGACACUUGGCGCGGGUUGUCGUGCAGAUUUUGGUACUAUGAACAACAACAACUCAAGGCAAUGGACACUUCGCGCGGGUUGCGUGGUACUAAAAAAGACCCAAAUCUACAAUGUCGAGUUGCCGUGUUAUACUACAAUAUUUAUUACUUUUAGUAAAUUAUUAGUAAUUUUUUUGUUUGUCGAUAUUAGUUGGAAUUAAAUCUGGGUCCGUUUGACUAACUGUCUAUAUGGGUCGGAAUAUAAUAUGAGUCUGUGGUUUUGUCUUUUUUGAAUUUUUGUUCAUAAUUUAAUGUAAUUUUCAUUUGAUUUGAUAUUUUGAAAGGACGACUUUUUUUUGUUAGAAUUAGUUUGUACGCUUAUUAUUGUUUUUUUGUGCUUUUAAACCGUUUCGUGUACCAGGUUUAGAACACUUUUCUCCACCACUAUUAUUUUGUUUUUUAGUUAAGAUUUCGCUGUGGGUUACUUUUAUAUGUAUUGUUAUUGCAUAGUAGAUUGUUUAGAUCGUUAUUUCUUGAACUAUAUAUAUACUAAAAAAAUUGGUAACGCGCCUAUAUUGCAACCUCAGAGGUGGUGAGGAAAUAAAAUAUAUAAAAUAUUUCCAUUUUCAGUACGUUUAUUUAAAACUCUGGGUCGAAAUACGUAGUAAAUCGAACAGGUGAUCUCAGCUGUGAAAAAUUUCCCGUUAUCCAGCUGAUUCUUUUGCUACUUGUAGGCAUAUACAAUGUUCACAACUAUCCACAACAAGAUAUUUUAUUUAUCAAGAGCAUUUUACUUCUUAACAAUUUUUCAAGAAAAAAGCUUUUUAUUUUAGAUACAGAACACGAAAUGCUUGAUAAAUUUCAAAUUUUUACAAAUUAGAAAUUUGUUGAAUUUGUAAAGUGCACAGAAUAGAGUCUGGAUUUCAUCAGAUAUUGAUGGAGCAAAAACACAUAGAGAAAACAGAAACAAUAAAAAAUUACCCAUAUCCUAAGGCGUUACGACAUAUGUAUGUACAAAAAUGCAUCUGUUGCAUUGUAUCCAAAAUAAUGGAUAAUAGUAUUUAUGUUAAUAACCUCAUUAGGUACGUGAUUAGUGAAACUUAAGAUGCAUUGUGUCCAAAGUAAUGGAUUAUUAUUUUGUAAAUAACCUUAGUAGUUUUUGUUUAGUUAUUACAAACAUUAAGCUCUGUGGAUAUAUAUACAAAUGGAGGAUUACAAUAGCUACAGCUUUUCUUAGGCAUGAUGAACAAGACAACAACAAAUCCCUUCUGACAUUUAGAUUAGCAGUUGCACAACCUCUUUCCGACGAGCUGAACCCUUUUAUGAUGUACAUAUGGGAAUAUGGGAUAGGAUUGUGUGGAAUUGACAAUCAAACAAUAUUGCUUGAUUAAUUUCGUUGGAUCCUUACGGGAUAGUUAUAAGGAAAUCGUUCGCGCUUAGUACUAAUGUAUUCAUUUCCUAAUUCAUAAUUUAAAUGUAAAAUAUUGUUAAAUUAUACAAAUCGUAUGUAAUUGGCGUUGACAACUCUCUUUCCUUCGCUGUUCGGCGCCAGUUGGAGAUUCCAAGUGUAACCAGGUCGCUCUCCACCUGGUCCCUCCAACGGAAUAGAGGCCUUCCCCUUCCUCGGCUUCUCCGGCGGGUACUGCAUCGAACACUUUCAGAGCUGGAGUGUUUUCGUCCAUUCGGACAACAUGACCUUGCCAGCGUAGCCACUGCUUUUUAUUCGCUGAACUAUGUCAAUGUCCUCGUAUAACUCAUACAGCUCAUCGUUCCAUUGUCUGCGGUAUUCGCCGUUGCCAAUCUUUAAGGGACCAUGAAUCUUCCGCAAAACCUUUCUCUCGAAAACUCCUAGUGUCGUCUCAUCUGAUGUUAACAUCGUCCAAGCUUCUGCACCAUAAAGCAGGACGGGAAGGAUAAGCGACUUGUAGAGUUUGAUUUUGGUUCGUCGAGAGAGGACUUUACUUUUCAAUUGCCUACUCAGUCCAAAGUAGCACCUGUUGGCAAGAGUGAUUUUGCGCUGGAUUUCAAGGCUGACAUUGUUCGUGUUGUUGAUGCUGGUUCCCAGCUAUACGAAAUUAUCUACGACUUCGAAGUUAUGGCUGUCAACAAGCUUUGAAAUCGACAAAAAGGUGGUGUGUGUCGAUCCUCUUUUCACGGGUCUUCUCCAAGAUUUAGCGCAUGGUGAAUAUCUGUUCAGUUGUGGAUUUUCCAGGUCUAAAGCCAACUGAUAAGGUCCAAUCAGUUUGUUGACGGUGGGCUUUAGUCUUUCACACAGUACGCUCGAUAGAACCUUAUAGGCGAUAUUUAGGAGGCUUCUCCCACGGUAAUUGGCACAGAUUGUGGGAUCUCCCUUUUUGUGGAUUGUGCAGAGCACACUGAGAUUCCAAUCGUCGGGCAUGCUUUCUUCCGACCAUAUUUUGCAAAGAAGCUGAUGCAUGCACCUUAUCAGUUCUUCGCCGCCGUAUUUAAAAGGCUCGGCCGGUAAUCUGUCGGCCCCCGCCGCUUUCUGUUCGUCAGGUGAGUAAUUGCUAUUCGAAUUUCUUCAUGGUCGGGUAAUGGAACAUCUGUUCCAUCGUCAUCGAUUGGGGAAUCGGGUUCGCCAUCUCCUGGUGUUGUACUUUCACUGCCAUUCAGCAGAUCGAAAAAGUAUUCCCUCCAAAAGCCCAGUAGGUACUCACGCAUUUCGGCCUCUUUCAUUUUUUGUCUGAAGAUUCGUCUCGCUUCCCUCUUCAUCUGUCGAUAUCUAUCCCAUCCCGCUCGUGUUGUGGUCUUUUUCAACGUUGCGAGGUAGGCAGUCUGUUUUCUGUCCGCUUCGAGACGACAAUCCUCAUCGUUGUCGAAAUCCAAUUGUAUCGGCUGCAGCUGUACGCAGUGAGUUUGAGAUACCGUUCCACAGUUCCCUUAUACCGAGAUGCUGAUGAGUGCUCUCAGAGAGCAGGAGUGCAAGUCGAGAAUGCGUAUCUUUGCUGCUACUAGAUAAUGGUCCGAGUCUAUAUUUGGUCGUCGGAGCAUACGCACGUCUAAAACGCAGGAGACAUGUCUUCCGUCUAUCAUAACGUGAUCGAUUUGGUUACGCGUGUUUCGGUCUGGAGACAGGCAAGUAGCUUGAUGUAUUUUCAUAUGCUGGAAUCUGGUACUACAGACGACCAUUUUGGGUCCCAGCGAAGUCGAUCAGCCUCAGGCCGUUUGGCGAUGUUUCGUCAUGGAGGCUGAAUUGCACUGUUGUGCCAAAGACACCUUCUUUACCCACUCUAGCGUUGAAAUCGCCAAGCACGAUUUUGACAUCGUGGAGGGGGCAGCGCUCGUAGGUGCGUUCUAGGCGCUCAAUGAAAGUAUCUGUGAUCACAUCGUCCUUCUCUUCCGUUGGGGCGUGGGCGCAAAUAAGCGAUAUGUUGAAGAACCUCGCUUUUAUGCGGAUUGUGGCUAGACGUUCAUGCACCGGGGUGAAUGCCAGGACUCGGCGACGGAGUCUCUCUCCCACCACAAAUCCAACACCAAAUUUGCGCUCCUUUUUACGUUCGCUGUAGUAGAUGUCACAAGGACCCACCUUCUUCAGUCCUUGUCCCGUCCAUCGCACUUCUUGGAUGGCGGUGAUAUCAGCCUUUAGUCGUAUGAGAACAUCAACCAGCUGGGCAGAGGCACCUUCCCAAUUAAGAGUCCGGACAUUCCAGGUGCAUGCCCUUAAAGCAUUAUCCUUAAAACGUUUGCAGGGAUCCCAUCCUCUAAUAUAUUAUACCAUACUAAUUUAUAAAUGUAAAUACAUCAAACAAUUAUAAUAAAUAAAUAAAAAUAAAACAAUUUUAAUUUUUAAUUUUAAUUUUUUUUUUAUAAACGGAAAAGUAGUAUAAAAUGAAGACCAAUGGAGACUUUUUUCCUGCUGCUAGAACGAGAGAGACCAAAAAAAUGAUACAAGCUUUCUUUACUGGUAACCAAUAUUCCAUAAGAUAAGUGACUCUACUUGUCUUGCAGGGUAGCCAAGCAUUGUAAAUAAAAAAGUAGUUGGUUAAGCUGUUGUCAUUGGUUAACUAAUUACUGUGAACUCGUCCCUUGAAGUUAUAAAAGUUUGUACAUUAUAAAUAAAAAGGAGAUUUUUUUCAUAAAACCAUUAAAAAAUAACAAAUGUUUGCAAAGAAGUAUUAGCUGAAUUAUAGUAAUUUUUUCUAUACUUAAAAUCUAUA
Long non-coding RNA from Zeugodacus cucurbitae (melon fly), 7551 nucleotides. RefSeq lists it as uncharacterized. The record is from RefSeq and is a predicted model, not a curated record. Lineage: Eukaryota; Metazoa; Arthropoda; Insecta; Diptera; Tephritidae. The transcript has 3 exons.